GGAUCAUUACCGAGUACUAUAACUCAUAACCCUUUGUGAACCUUUAUACCUGUUGCUUCGGCGGCGCGCCUCCCGGGGCGUGCCCGCCGGUAUCAUCAGAAUCUCUGUUCGAACCCGACGAUAUUUAUGAGUGUUCUAAGCGAACUGUUAAAACUUUCAACAACGGAUCUCUUGGCUCCAGCAUCGAUGAAGAACGCAGCGAAACGCGAUAUGUAAUGUGAAUUGCAGAAUUCAGUGAAUCAUCGAAUCUUUGAACGCACAUGGCGCCUUCCAGUAUCCUGGGAGGCAUGCCUGUCCGAGCGUCGUUUCAACCCUCGAGCCCCCGUGGCCCGGCGUUGGGGAUCUGCCCAGGCAGUCCCCGAAAACCAGUGGCGGACCCGUUACAGGCCCUUCCCUUGCGUAGUAGCUUUCGCCUCGCAUCGGGAGCCGGCGGGCUUCCAGCCUCUAACCCCCAUCAAGUCCGCCCCGGCGGCACCAAGGUGACCUCGGAUCA
Molecule: ribosomal RNA, 493 nt
Rfam family: 5.8S ribosomal RNA (bases 152-305)